UGGGGGAUAUUGCACAAUGGGCGAAAGCCUGAUGCAGCGACGCCGCGUGGGGGAUGAAGGCUUUCGGGUUGUAAACCUCUUUCGCUAUCGAACAAGGCCCGCUUAGGGUGGGUUGAGGGUAGGUGGAGAAGAAGCGCCGGCUAACUACGUGCCCGCAGCCGCGGUAAUACGUAGGGCGCGGGCGUUGUCCGGAAUUAUUGGGCGUAAAGGGCUUGUAGGCGGCUUGUUGCGCCUGCUGUGAAAACGCGGGGCUUAACUUCGCGCGUGCAGUGGGUACGGGCAGGCUUGAGUGUGGUAGGGGUGACUGGAAUUCCAGGUGUAGCGGUGGAAUGCGCAGAUAUCUGGAGGAACACCGAUGGCGAAGGCAGGUCACUGGGCCAUUACUGACGCUGAGGAGCGAAAGCAUGGGUAGCGAACAGG
This 420-nucleotide ribosomal RNA is filed under the name bacterium. RNAcentral describes it as "partial 16S ribosomal RNA". It matches the Rfam family "Bacterial small subunit ribosomal RNA", at positions 355 to 776 of the family's 1533-position model. The record is from RNAcentral.